This 71-nucleotide transfer RNA is filed under the name Klebsiella pneumoniae. Its description in RNAcentral is "tRNA-Thr". It matches the Rfam family "tRNA". Rfam says of the family: Transfer RNA (tRNA) molecules are approximately 80 nucleotides in length. Their secondary structure includes four short double-helical elements and three loops (D, anti-codon, and T loops). Further hydrogen bonds mediate the characteristic L-shaped molecular structure. tRNAs have two regions of fundamental functional importance: the anti-codon, which is responsible for specific mRNA codon recognition, and the 3' end, to which the tRNAs corresponding amino acid is attached (by aminoacyl-tRNA synthetases). tRNAs cope with the degeneracy of the genetic code in two manners: having more than one tRNA (with a specific anti-codon) for a particular amino acid; and 'wobble' base-pairing, i.e. permitting non-standard base-pairing at the 3rd anti-codon position. The record is from RNAcentral. Lineage: Bacteria; Pseudomonadati; Pseudomonadota; Gammaproteobacteria; Enterobacterales; Enterobacteriaceae.
GCCCGUUUAGUUAAGUGGUAUAACAAACGCCUUGUAAGCGUUAUUCGAGGGUUCGAUUCCUUCAACGGGCA